This 292-nucleotide ribosomal RNA is filed under the name uncultured eukaryote. RNAcentral describes it as "partial 18S ribosomal RNA". It matches the Rfam family "Eukaryotic small subunit ribosomal RNA", at positions 6 to 284 of the family's 1831-position model. The record is from RNAcentral.
GGUUGAUCCUGCCAGUAGUCAUAUGCUUGUCUCAAAGAUUAAGCCAUGCAUGUCCAAGUAUAAAUCUUUAUACGGUGAAACUGCGAAUGGCUCAUUAAAUCAGUUAUAAUUUAUUUGAUAGUACCUUACUACUUGGAUAACCGUGGUAAUUCUAGAGCUAAUACAUGCAUCAAGGCCUGACGCCUUCAAUGGCGGAGGGCUGUAUUUAUUAGGUAAAAACCAACGUUGGCCGUCACGUACGGCCAGCUAACCGGUGAUUCAUAAUAACUUCUCGGAUCGUAUGACCUUGUGU